Molecule: unclassified non-coding RNA, 148 nt
Organism: Papio anubis (olive baboon)
Lineage: Eukaryota; Metazoa; Chordata; Mammalia; Primates; Cercopithecidae
Rfam family: Metazoan signal recognition particle RNA
About the family: The signal recognition particle (SRP) is a universally conserved ribonucleoprotein.
Source: Ensembl
GCUGGGCGUCAUGGCGGGUGCCUGUAAUCCCAGCUACUUAGGAGGCUGAGGCAGGAGAAUUGCUUGAACCUGGGAGGCGGAGGUUGCAGUGAGCUGAGACUGCUCCACUGCACUCCGACCUGGGUGACAGAGCGAGACUCUGUCUCUU